This 253-nucleotide ribosomal RNA is filed under the name uncultured bacterium. Its description in RNAcentral is "partial 16S ribosomal RNA". It matches the Rfam family "Bacterial small subunit ribosomal RNA", at positions 524 to 776 of the family's 1533-position model. The record is from RNAcentral.
GACGGGGGGGGCAAGUGUUAUUCGGAAUUACUGGGCGUAAAGCGCACGUAGGCGGCUUUGUAAGUUAGAGGUGAAAGCCUGGAGCUCAACUCCAGAAUUGCCUUUAAGACUGCAUCGCUCGAAUCCAGGAGAGGUGAGUGGAAUUCCGAGUGUAGAGGUGAAAUUCGUAGAUAUUCGGAAGAACACCAGUGGCGAAGGCGGCUCACUGGACUGGUAUUGACGCUGAGGUGCGAAAGCGUGGGGAGCAAACAGG